CUUAAGGGAAAGUGAUUACUACUAUUAAGAAGAGCCAUUUUCUGUUCUCUGUUAGGAUCUUUGGGUUCUCCUGGGAAUGUGAGCAGCCUGAGGAAGACUUGCUUUUGAGACAAACAGACGGUUCCUCCAUCUCUGGAACCAUGCCAAGAGGCUGUGCCUAAUCUGCUCAGAAAUCAUGGCCCUCUGCCUGUCACUGAAGCCUGAACACACUCCAGGAAUUAGGGUACCCGUAUUAUGCACUUCCUAGAAUGUAUCUGAAUAAGAGUGUCUGGGCCUCGGUUGAUUCAGAAUAUUGAUGAGAGGAUAAAAUCAGAG
This 315-nucleotide long non-coding RNA is filed under the name Fukomys damarensis (Damara mole-rat). RNAcentral describes it as "lncRNA (ENSFDAG00000024012.1)". Lineage: Eukaryota; Metazoa; Chordata; Mammalia; Rodentia; Bathyergidae. The record is from RNAcentral.